GAUGAAGAACGCAGCGAAAUGCGAUAAGUAAUGUGAAUUGCAGAAUUCAGUGAAUCAUCGAAUCUUUGAACGCACCUUGCGCCCUUUGGCUAUUCCGAAGGGCAUGCCUGUUUGAGUAUCGUGAACACCUCAACUCUCAUGGUUUGCCAUGAUGAGCUUGGACUUUGGGGGUUUUGCUGGCCUUUGAUCGGCUCCUCUCAAACGGAUCAGCUUUCCAGUGUUUGGUGGCGUCACGGGUGUGAUAACUAUCUACGCCUGUGGUUUUCUGCCAGAUAACCUUCAGCGAUGGAGGUUCGCUGGGGCUCAUAAAUGUCUCUCUUCAGUGGAGACAGCUUUUUGGACGUUUGAUCUCAAAUCAGGUAGGACUACCCGCUGAACUUAAGCAUAUCAAUAAGCGGAGGA
RNAcentral lists this unclassified non-coding RNA (402 nucleotides) under soil metagenome. RNAcentral's name for it is "partial contains 5.8S ribosomal RNA, internal transcribed spacer 2, and large subunit ribosomal RNA". The stretch from base 1 to 121 matches the Rfam family "5.8S ribosomal RNA", at positions 35 to 154 of the family's 154-position model. The record is from RNAcentral.